Long non-coding RNA from Cyprinodon tularosa, 697 nucleotides. RefSeq lists it as uncharacterized. Lineage: Eukaryota; Metazoa; Chordata; Actinopteri; Cyprinodontiformes; Cyprinodontidae. The record is from RefSeq and is a predicted model, not a curated record. The transcript is spliced from 4 exons.
AAAAAGAAAUAAACAAGCACAGGAUGAAAAUUGCGACCACUCUCCUUCUCAGCACAGAUGACCUGAGCAACCUCUGUCACUUUUGUGGCGAGAAAAACACGGACACUGAAGACAUCUGGAUUCAGUGUGACGACUGCUUCAGAUGGUACCACCUUCAAUGUGUUGGAAACCCAGAUCCCCAAGAGGAUUACGUGUGCUUUGCAUGUCAAUAGUUUUGUUAAGUUGUUUCUAUUAUGAUGUUUUUAUCUUGUAAUAAAUUUUUUUUUUUUUAUUGAGAAGUUAUAAGCAAAACUUUGAAUUACAAUUUUUUGCUACUAUUUGUUAUUGUUGGGAUCCGGAGGCUUGCCCACCAGAUGCCAUCGAGGAUCCCUUCCUGAGGGCUUGUGCUGCCUGUUGGGAUCCGGAGGCUUGCCCACCAGAGGGCGCCAAGGAUUCCUUCCUGAGGGCUUGUGCUCACCUGCCUCACCUGUCUUUCAUCUCCUCAUCAGACCACUCCAGCGCCAAAGUGUUUGCCAGUAACGAUAGAUCCUGCCUGACUACCAGUAACCCUGGAGAGUUAUCUCUGCUGGUUAUCUGCCUGCCUGCUCUCUGUCGAACUCUGGGGAGCUUCCUCUGUGAGUAUCUGCCUGCCCGCCCUCAGAAGAUUACUUGGAGAGAGACUCAGUCUGUGAUCUGCCUGCAAGCUCUCAGUAAGCUC